GAUGAACGCUAGCUACAGGCUUAACACAUGCAAGUCGAGGGGCAGCAUGGUCUUAGCUUGCUAAGGCCGAUGGCGACCGGCGCACGGGUGAGUAAUACAUCGGAACGUGCCUAGUAGUGGGGGAUAACUACUCGAAAGAGUGGCUAAUACCGCAUGAGAUCUACGGAUGAAAGCAGGGGAUCGCAAGACCUUGUGCUACUAGAGCGGCCGAUGGCAGAUUAGGUAGUUGGUGGGAUAAAAGCUUACCAAGCCAACGAUCUGUAGCUGGUCUGAGAGGACGAUCAGCCACACUGGGACUGAGACACGGCCCAG
Molecule: ribosomal RNA, 312 nt
Filed under: uncultured bacterium
Lineage: Bacteria
Description: bacterial SSU rRNA
Rfam family: Bacterial small subunit ribosomal RNA
Source: RNAcentral